RNAcentral lists this long non-coding RNA (303 nucleotides) under Elaeis guineensis (African oil palm). RNAcentral describes it as "long non-coding RNA (EGUI_LNC067961)". The record is from RNAcentral. Lineage: Eukaryota; Viridiplantae; Streptophyta; Magnoliopsida; Arecales; Arecaceae.
GGCGUGGCUCCAAAAGGAGCUUCAUGUUAUCUGAGAAAAGAUCUCUAGACUUGGGUGCUCGAGGAACGUGGCUGCCAAAUACAGGUCGAGAAAAAAUUAGCUAAUGAUCAUAAGGUCCCAGAGCUUGGUCAGACAAGGACUAGUUGACCCCACAUCUUUAGAUGACCCAGUCCGAUGCAUAUUCGAUGCGGACUACACGAUUGGCUUUAGGACGUGCAAGAAUCAAAUCAGGAUAGCGUUCCCAGAACUUGAUCUUUCCAACUUCUCAUUUGAAGGCGACACUGAGCCUUCCACCUUUCAGUG